GGAUAUGAGGGUGAUCUGGCUGUGACAUCUGUCACCCCAUUGAUCGCCAGGAUUGAUUUACCUGAUCUGGCUAGCUAGGCAAGUGUCUCCUUCCUUUCUCACCGCUCCAUGUGCAUCCCUCUCGAAGAUGGGUGCUCAGUGGAAGAGAACGACCUUUCCCAAUAGAGGAGAGAACCAUUUUUCGGUCAAGGGUAUAUGAGUAGCUGAACUCCCCUGCUAGAACCUCCAAACAAGCUCUCAAGAAGAUGAAAAUCAAUACCUGUUACGAUGACUAUCAUCAAAAAGACAAGAGAUAAUAACUGU
Molecule: small nuclear RNA, 303 nt
Filed under: Pteropus alecto (black flying fox)
Lineage: Eukaryota; Metazoa; Chordata; Mammalia; Chiroptera; Pteropodidae
Description: 7SK RNA
Rfam family: 7SK RNA
About the family: 7SK was discovered as an abundant small nuclear RNA in the mid-70s but a possible function has only recently been suggested. Two independent studies have found that 7SK RNA binds the CDK9/cyclin T complex (known as elongation factor P-TEFb). P-TEFb activates transcription by phosphorylating the C-terminal domain of RNA polymerase II.
Source: Rfam by way of RNAcentral